CUACUUACCUGGCAGGGUUGAUACCAUCAUCACCAAGGUGGUUUUCCAAGGACAAGCCUUCAUCCUUGUAGCCUAGAUGUGUUAACCCUUAUGAUUUCCCCAAAGGUGCCAAAUGUGGGAAACUGACUGCGUAAUUCAUGUUAGUGAAGAACUGAAUUCACAUUUUCC
Rattus rattus (black rat) is the source of this 168-nucleotide small nuclear RNA. RefSeq annotates it as U1 spliceosomal RNA. The record is from RefSeq and is a predicted model, not a curated record. Lineage: Eukaryota; Metazoa; Chordata; Mammalia; Rodentia; Muridae. The transcript has a single exon.